RNAcentral lists this ribosomal RNA (447 nucleotides) under uncultured bacterium. RNAcentral's name for it is "partial 16S ribosomal RNA". It matches the Rfam family "Bacterial small subunit ribosomal RNA", at positions 29 to 523 of the family's 1533-position model. The record is from RNAcentral.
AGUGAACGCUGGCGGCAGGCUUAACACAUGCAAGUCGAACGCCCCGCAAGGGGAGUGGCAGACGGGUGAGUAACACGUGGGAACGUACCCUUUGGUUCGGAAUAACUUGGGGAAACUCAAGCUAAUACCGGAUAAGCCCUUAUGGGGAAAGGUUUACUGCCGAAGGAUCGGCCCGCGUCUGAUUAGCUAGUUGGUGAGGUAACGGCUCACCAAGGCGACGAGCAGUAGCUGGUCUGAGAGGAUGAUCAGCCACACUGGGACUGAGACACGGCCCAGAAUCCUACGGGAGGCAGCAGUUGGGAAGAUGGGACAAUGGGGGCAACCCUGAUCCAUUCAUGCCGCGUGAGUGAUGAAGGCAUUAGGGUUGUAGAGCUCUUUUACCCGGGACGAUAAUGACUGUACCGGGAGAAUAAGCCCCGGCUAACUUCGAGCCAGCCGCCGCGGUAA